RNAcentral lists this ribosomal RNA (254 nucleotides) under uncultured bacterium. Its description in RNAcentral is "partial 16S ribosomal RNA". It matches the Rfam family "Bacterial small subunit ribosomal RNA", at positions 524 to 776 of the family's 1533-position model. The record is from RNAcentral.
UACGGGGGGAGCAAGCGUUGUUCGGAUUUACUGGGCGUAAAGGGCGCGUAGGCGGUCACGACAAGUCAGGGGUGAAAUCCUGCAGCUUAACUGUAGAAGUGCCUUUGAUACUGUCGGUCUUGAGGGAAAUAGGGGUGUGCGGAACUUCCAGUGGAGCGGUGAAAUGCGUUGAUAUUGGAAGGAACGCCGGAGGCGAAAGCGGCGCACUGGAUUUCUUCUGACGCUGAGGCGCGAAAGCUAGGGGAGCAAACGGG